CAGUCGCCGCGGGAAUACGUAGGGUGCGAGCGUUAAUCGGAAUUACUGGGCGUAAAGCGUGCGCAGGCGGUUUUGUAAGACAGGCGUGAAAUCCCCGGGCUCAACCUGGGAAUGGCGCUUGUGACUGCAAAGCUAGAGUGCGGCAGAGGGGGAUGGAAUUCCGCGUGUAGCAGUGAAAUGCGUAGAUAUGCGGAGGAACACCGAUGGCGAAGGCAAUCCCCUGGGCCUGCACUGACGCUCAUGCACGAAAGCGUGGGGAGCGAACAGGAUUAGAUACCCCAGUAGUCCCUGUCUCUUAUAC
This 301-nucleotide ribosomal RNA is filed under the name uncultured bacterium. RNAcentral describes it as "partial 16S ribosomal RNA". It matches the Rfam family "Bacterial small subunit ribosomal RNA", at positions 509 to 807 of the family's 1533-position model. The record is from RNAcentral.